UUGAACGCUGGCGGCAGGCUUAACACAUGCAAGUCGAGCGGCAGCGCGGGGGCAACCCUGGCGGCGAGCGGCGAACGGGUGAGUAAUACAUGGGAAUCUGCCCUGUGGUGGGGGAUAACUCGGGGAAACUCGAGGUAAUACCGCAUACGUCCUACGGGAGAAAGCGGGGGAUCUUCGGACCUCGCGCCAUAGGAGGAGCCCAUGUCCGAUUAGCUUGUUGGUGAGGUAAUGGCUCACCAAGGCGACGAUCGGUAACUGGUCUGAGAGGAUGGUCAGUCACACUGGAACUGAGACACGGUCCAGACUCCUACGGGAGGCAGCAGUGGGGAAUAUUGGACAAUGGGGGCAACCCUGAUCCAGCCAUGCCGCGUGUGUGAAGAAGGCCUUCGGGUUGUAAAGCACUUUAAGUGGGGAGGAAGGCUCGCAGAUUAAUAAUCUGCGGGAGUGACGUUACCCACAGAAUAAGCACCGGCAAACUCCGU
RNAcentral lists this ribosomal RNA (482 nucleotides) under uncultured bacterium. Its description in RNAcentral is "bacterial SSU rRNA". It matches the Rfam family "Bacterial small subunit ribosomal RNA", at positions 29 to 506 of the family's 1533-position model. The record is from RNAcentral.